UACGGAGGGGGCUAGCGUUGUUCGGAAUUACUGGGCGUAAAGCGCGCGUAGGCGGACCUGCAAGUCGGGUGUGAAAGCCCUCAGCUCAACUGAGGAAGUGCGCCCGAAACUGCAGUGCUUGAGUACCGGAGAGGAUGGCGGAAUUCCCCAAGUAGAGGUGAAAUUCGUAGAUAUGGGGAGGAACACCGGUGGCGAAGGCGGCCAUCUGGACGGAUACUGACGCUGAGACGCGAAAGCGUGGGUAGCAAACAGG
RNAcentral lists this ribosomal RNA (253 nucleotides) under uncultured bacterium. RNAcentral's name for it is "partial 16S ribosomal RNA". It matches the Rfam family "Bacterial small subunit ribosomal RNA", at positions 524 to 776 of the family's 1533-position model. The record is from RNAcentral.